UCCCAUCUGUUAUAUUUCGGGUGUACAACACAGUGAUUCAACACUUCCAUACAUCACCUGGUGCUCAUCAAAGGUGCUUUCCUUAACCCCCCUCACCUAGUUCAUCCAUCCCCCGGCCCCCUCC
Long non-coding RNA from Herpailurus yagouaroundi (jaguarundi), 124 nucleotides. RefSeq lists it as uncharacterized. The record is from RefSeq and is a predicted model, not a curated record. The transcript is spliced from 3 exons. Lineage: Eukaryota; Metazoa; Chordata; Mammalia; Carnivora; Felidae.